Molecule: ribosomal RNA, 613 nt
Filed under: uncultured bacterium
Lineage: Bacteria
Description: bacterial SSU rRNA
Rfam family: Bacterial small subunit ribosomal RNA
Source: RNAcentral
CCUGGGGAGUACGGCCGCAAGGUUAAAACUCAAAUGAAUUGACGGGGGCCCGCACAAGCGGUGGAGCAUGUGGUUUAAUUCGACGCAACGCGAAGAACCUUACCUGGCCUUGACAUGCAGAGAACUUUCCAGAGAUGGAUUGGUGCCUUCGGGAACUCUGACACAGGUGCUGCAUGGCCGUCGUCAGCUCGUGUCGUGAGAUGUUGGGUUAAGUCCCGUAACGAGCGCAACCCCUAUCCCUAGUUGCUAGCAGUUCGGCUGAGAACUCUAGGGAGACUGCCGGUGACAAACCGGAGGAAGGUGGGGAUGACGUCAGGUCAUCAUGGCCCUUACGGCCAGGGCUACACACGUGCUACAAUGGUGCGUACAGAGGGCUGCAAACCCGCGAGGGGGAGCUAAUCUCACAAAACGCAUCGUAGUCCGGAUCGGAGUCUGCAACUCGACUCCGUGAAGUCGGAAUCGCUAGUAAUCGCGAAUCAGAAUGUCGCGGUGAAUACGUUCCCGGGCCUUGUACACACCGCCCGUCACACCAUGGGAGUGGAUUGCACCAGAAGUGGUUAGUCUAACCUUCGGGAGGACGAUCACCACGGUGUGGUUCAUGACUGGGGUGAAG